This 442-nucleotide ribosomal RNA is filed under the name uncultured bacterium. Its description in RNAcentral is "bacterial SSU rRNA". It matches the Rfam family "Bacterial small subunit ribosomal RNA", at positions 354 to 796 of the family's 1533-position model. The record is from RNAcentral.
GUGGGGAAUAUUGCGCAAUGGGCGAAAGCCUGACGCAGCGACGCCGCGUGGAGGAUGAGGCCCUUCGGGGUGUAAACUCCUGUUGCUCGGGACGAAUGCCCUACAUGGGUGGGGUUGACGGUACCGGGUGAGGAAGCACCGGCUAACUCUGUGCCAGCAGCCGCGGUAAUACAGAGGGUGCGAGCGUUGUCCGGAAUCACUGGGCGUAAAGGGCGCGUAGGUGGCAGGUCACGCGUGCCGUGAAAGCCCGGGGCUCAACCCCGGGUCGGCGGUGCGAACGGGCCAGCUGGAGCGUACGAGAGGCAGGCGGAAUUCCGGGUGUAGCGGUGGAAUGCGUAGAGAUCCGGAAGAACACCGGUGGCGAAGGCGGCCUGCUGGCGUACGGCUGACACUGAGGCGCGACAGCGUGGGGAGCAAACAGGAUUAGAUACCCGGGUAGUCC